Molecule: ribosomal RNA, 465 nt
Filed under: uncultured bacterium
Lineage: Bacteria
Description: partial 16S ribosomal RNA
Rfam family: Bacterial small subunit ribosomal RNA
Source: RNAcentral
CCUACGGGUAGCAGCAGUAGGGAAUCUUCCACAAUGGGCGAAAGCCUGAUGGAGCAACGCCGCGUGGGUGAAGAAGGUCUUCGGAUCGUAAAACCCUGUUGUUAGAGAAGAAAGUUCGUGAGAGUAACUGUUCACGUUUCGACGGUAUCUACCCAGAAAGCCACGGCUAACUACUUGCCAGCAGCCGCGGUAAUACGUAGGUGGCAAGCGUUAUCCGGAUUUAUUGGGCGUAAAGGUAACGCAGGCGGUCUUUUAAGUCUGAUGUGAAAGCCUUCGGCUUAACCGGAGGAGUGCAUUGGAAACUGGGAGACGUGAGUGCAGAAGAGGAGAGUGGAACUCGAUGUGUAGCGGUGAAAUGCGUAGAUAUAUGGAAGAACACCAGUGGCGAAAGCGGCUCUCUGGGCUGUAACUGACGCUGAGGUUCGAAAGCGUGGGUAGCAAACAGGAUUAGAUACCCCUGUAGUC